AUAUAAAAAUCACCUAAAUCUCAUCCUCAUAAUACAGUUGUGUUGGUUUAUGACCCAGAUUUGAAGGAUCCUGGGAAAGUAGAUUGCUUCUAGCAUUUGCCCACUAAAAAAAUAAUAAUUUUUAAGGUGAUUGACAGACUUUUUUUUUUUUUUUUUGUAUUUUAGUAGAGAUGGAGUUUCACUACGUUGACCAGGAUGAUCUUGAUUUCCUGACCUCAUGAUCCACCCGCCUUGGCCUCCCAAAGUGCUGGGAUUACAGUCAUGAGCCACUGCGCCCAGCCCAGACUGUUUUUUUAAAAAGGCUGGAGUGCAAUAGUGCUAUCAGAGUUCACUGCAGCCUCUACCUCCUGAGCCCAAGUGAUUCUCCCACAUCACUCUCCAAGUAGCUGGGAUCACAGAUUGCACUGCUUCUGAAAUGAGGCUGCCUUAACCACUGCUGUUGGGACCUGAAAAUGCUGGAGGAUAUGCUUUCCUGGUAAUUGCCUUUCUGCUA
RNAcentral lists this long non-coding RNA (493 nucleotides) under Papio anubis (olive baboon). RNAcentral describes it as "lncRNA (ENSPANG00000037820.1)". Lineage: Eukaryota; Metazoa; Chordata; Mammalia; Primates; Cercopithecidae. The record is from RNAcentral.